CUCGGUGAUGAAAUCCUGGAAUAGGAAGUUCUGUCGUAUGUGAGAACUGAUGAUUUUUUUGUAUCCACUUUUCUGAGU
Hippoglossus stenolepis (Pacific halibut) is the source of this 78-nucleotide small nucleolar RNA. RefSeq annotates it as small nucleolar RNA SNORD49. NCBI's taxonomy places the organism in Eukaryota, Metazoa, Chordata, Actinopteri, Pleuronectiformes, Pleuronectidae. The transcript has a single exon. The record is from RefSeq and is a predicted model, not a curated record.